GAUGAACGCUGGCGGCGUGCCUAAUACAUGCAAGUCGAGCGAACAGAUGAGGAGCUUGCUCCUCUGACGUUAGCGGCGGACGGGUGAGUAACACGUGGAUAACCUACCUAUAAGACUGGGAUAACUUCGGGAAACCGGAGCUAAUACCGGAUAAUAUAUUGAACCGCAUGGUUCAAUAGUGAAAGACGGUUUUGCUGUCACUUAUAGAUGGAUCCGCGCCGCAUUAGCUAGUUGGUAAGGUAACGGCUUACCAAGGCAACGAUGCGUAGCCGACCUGAGAGGGUGAUCGGCCACACUGGAACUGAGACACGGUCCAGACUCCUACGGGAGGCAGCAGUAGGGAAUCUUCCGCAAUGGGCGAAAGCCUGACGGAGCAACGCCGCGUGAGUGAUGAGGGUCUUCGGAUCGUAAAACUCUGUUAUUAGGGAAGAACAAAUGUGUAAGUAACUAUGCACGUCUUGACGGUACCUAAUCAGAAAGCCACGGCUAACUACGU
This 496-nucleotide ribosomal RNA is filed under the name uncultured bacterium. Its description in RNAcentral is "partial 16S ribosomal RNA". It matches the Rfam family "Bacterial small subunit ribosomal RNA", at positions 28 to 506 of the family's 1533-position model. The record is from RNAcentral.